UACGGGGGGGGCAAGCGUUGUUCGGAAUUACUGGGCGUAAAGGGCUCGUAGGCGGCCAACUAAGUCAGACGUGAAAUCCCUCAGCUUAACUGGGGAACUGCGUCUGAUACUGGAUGGCUCGAGUGCAGGAGAGGAACGCGGAAUUCCAGGUGUAGCGGUGAAAUGCGUAGAUAUCUGGAGGAACACCGGUGGCGAAGGCGGCGUUCUGGACUGCAACUGACACUGAGGAACGAAAGCCAGGGGAGCAAACGGG
Molecule: ribosomal RNA, 253 nt
Filed under: uncultured bacterium
Lineage: Bacteria
Description: partial 16S ribosomal RNA
Rfam family: Bacterial small subunit ribosomal RNA
Source: RNAcentral